Beta vulgaris subsp. vulgaris (sugar beet) is the source of this 72-nucleotide non-coding RNA. The record is from Rfam. Lineage: Eukaryota; Viridiplantae; Streptophyta; Magnoliopsida; Caryophyllales; Amaranthaceae.
GGCCUAGGAUUUUUAUUUAAUUGUCCGUACCAUCUGAUUUUGAUGAGUCAAUUUGCAAUUUUUCUGAGGCCA